Molecule: transfer RNA, 98 nt
Filed under: Xylariaceae sp. FL1019
Lineage: Eukaryota; Fungi; Ascomycota; Sordariomycetes; Xylariales; Xylariaceae
Description: tRNA-Leu
Rfam family: tRNA
About the family: Transfer RNA (tRNA) molecules are approximately 80 nucleotides in length. Their secondary structure includes four short double-helical elements and three loops (D, anti-codon, and T loops).
Source: RNAcentral
GGCAAGAUGGCCGAGUUGGUUAUGGCGUGAGGUUAAGGUCACCUUAGCAUGAUUUCCUCAUGGAGCAAUCCGCGUGGGUUCAAGUCCCACUCUUGUCA